Molecule: small nucleolar RNA, 75 nt
Filed under: Capsella rubella
Lineage: Eukaryota; Viridiplantae; Streptophyta; Magnoliopsida; Brassicales; Brassicaceae
Source: RNAcentral
UUGAUGCCUGUGAUGGUGUUAAAUAUACUUUGAGAGCUAAGUCUCUAGGAAAACAAAUCAACUCUGAGGCUAUUU